Molecule: non-coding RNA, 230 nt
Filed under: Toxoplasma gondii VEG
Lineage: Eukaryota; Apicomplexa; Conoidasida; Eucoccidiorida; Sarcocystidae
Description: Eukaryotic small subunit ribosomal RNA
Rfam family: Eukaryotic small subunit ribosomal RNA
Source: Rfam by way of RNAcentral
AACGUUUGUAGAUCGCGAACGUCUUCUGAGUUGUUUUCGUCUCGAGUGAGGGUUCUUCGAGUUGCAGAAGCUGCUGCGUAUUUUCAUGACAUGAGUCAAGAACGAAAGUUAGGAGCUCGAAGACGAUCAGAUACCGUCGUAGUCUUAACCAUAAGCUAUGCCGACUAGAGAUAGGAAAACGUCAUGCUUGACUUCUCCUGCACCUUAUGAGAAAUCAAAGUCUUUAGGUU